GGGGGCAGGCGAAGCACAGGUGAAGCUGUUUCUGGUUUAAGGACUCCAGCUGUUGGGCUGAGCUUUUUUUUGGGCACUGGAUAUUGAACUCAGGGGCCCUCAACCACUGAGCCGCAUCUCCAGCCCUGUUUUGUGUUUUACUUAGAGACAGGGUCUCACUGAGUUGCUUAGCGCCUGGCCGUUGCUGAAGCUGGUCUUUGAACAACUCACGAUCCUCUGUCUCAGCCUCCUGAGCCACUGAGAUUGCCCGUGUGUGCCACGCACCCAGCUAAUAUUUAAUUUUUAAUUUUAAUUGUGCAAAUAAAUAGAAAUGGAAAACUACAUUCAAAUCAGCUGUGAAGGAAGGGCAAGUCCUGAACAGAACUCUAUGAAAACCCAGAAGAGCCGCUCCCUGGAGGCAUGAAGGAAGUGGGACACCACGGGGAGGGGAUCUCGGCCUCCAGAGAAGCCCAGGCCCACAGGUCUCCCCUCCAGCCACAGAAGCUGUCUAGAUGCCUUCCACGCUGCUGCUGCUGCCGCCACCACCUAGUGAAUGCAGGAGAGCAGUCCCCUGAGUCCUGUGAGGGCCCUGCCCACGCCUUGUCAACCACACAAGUUGAUCUGAGGACCAGAGUCUCAUGGAGCAGCUGGAGGUGGCAGAUGGCACCUGGCAGCAGCCCACAGGUCCCUGGAGCUGGACCCACAGCACACACUCACCUGUUUCCACAUCGUUGGCAUUGGCAGAGUCCCUCAGUCUCUUCAAAGCUGUGACGAGAAUAAGAAAUGCCCAUUAAAAAAAAAAAGUCAUGACUUACAAGGAGGGCUUACUAGUUCUAUUCCUCCUUAAUUCACCCUUUAACCACCACAGUAUCUAAAGGAAACAGCCAGGCACAGUGGCGCAUGCCUGUAAUUCCAGAAGCUCAGGAGGCUAAGGCAGGAGGAUCUCGAGUUCAAAGCCAGCCUCAGCAAU
This is a long non-coding RNA of Marmota monax (woodchuck), 949 nucleotides long. RefSeq lists it as uncharacterized. Lineage: Eukaryota; Metazoa; Chordata; Mammalia; Rodentia; Sciuridae. The transcript is spliced from 3 exons. The record is from RefSeq and is a predicted model, not a curated record.